UACGUAGGGGGCUAGCGUUGUCCGGAAUCAUUGGGCGUAAAGAGCGCGUAGGCGGCCAGAUAAGUCCGGUGUGAAAGUCAAAGGCUCAACCUUUGAAUGCCGCUGGAAACUGUCUGGCUAGAGUCCGGGAGGGGCGAGUGGAAUUCCUGGUGUAGCGGUGAAAUGCGCAGAUAUCAGGAGGAACACCAAUGGCGAAGGCAGCUCGCUGGAACGGAACUGACGCUGAGGCGCGAAAGCGUGGGGAGCGAACAGG
RNAcentral lists this ribosomal RNA (253 nucleotides) under uncultured bacterium. Its description in RNAcentral is "partial 16S ribosomal RNA". It matches the Rfam family "Bacterial small subunit ribosomal RNA", at positions 524 to 776 of the family's 1533-position model. The record is from RNAcentral.